Molecule: ribosomal RNA, 468 nt
Filed under: uncultured bacterium
Lineage: Bacteria
Description: partial 16S ribosomal RNA
Rfam family: Bacterial small subunit ribosomal RNA
Source: RNAcentral
GACGAACGCUGGCGGCGUGCUUAACACAUGCAAUUCGAACGGAAAGGCCCUGCUUUUGUGCGGUCCACGCUUGGCAAACAGGUGCGUAACAAGUUAGUAACCUGCCCUUUAAUUUGGGAUAACUUCUGGAAACUGGGGCUACUACCGCUUACUACCUCAUGCUGCUUGGUGGGGGUUGGAAAGUUUCGGCGGUUGGGGAUGGACUCGGGGCUUAUCAUCUUGUUGGUGGAGUAGUGGCUUACGAAGGAUUUGCCGGGUAUCCGGCCUGAGCGGGUGACAGGAUAAAUAGAAACUGAAGUCAGGCCCAGACUUCUACGGGAGGCAGUAGGCGGGAAUAGUGCACAAUGGGCGGAAGCCUGAUGCAGUAACUCUGCGUGUGGGAUGAUGGUCUUCGGGUUGUAAACCGCUUUGGCAUGUGACGAAGCGUGAGAGACGGUAAUGGGUAAAGAAGCACCGGCUCACUACGUG